Non-coding RNA from Ciona intestinalis (vase tunicate), 472 nucleotides. The record is from RefSeq and is a predicted model, not a curated record. Lineage: Eukaryota; Metazoa; Chordata; Ascidiacea; Phlebobranchia; Cionidae.
ACAAUAAUGUAAAAGUGUGCGAUGUAUAGUCAUGUAGACGCAUUUUAUCUGAUGAAGUGGUAUAAGUGAAGAUCCUAGUCCACUAGCAAUAGGUAUUGAGCCUUUCCAGCUUGAACCUGUACUUCCAGCAAGUGUUGGGGAAGUAGACAGGCCAAGUUUAUCUACCAUGGAAAACAAGUGACGCUGAGCAAAUCAACAACACAAUUUGGUACGGAAAUGAUUGGAAAAGAAAAACAGAAAGGUUCCAUCGGUACUGAUCAAAAGUAUAAGCGAAUAACAUUAUAGUGACAGUUCAACAACAUUUGCAAGAAUAUUUCAUCAUUUAGUUUUGAAUGGUUUUGUCCUGUUUCAUAAAGCAUGUGAUUCAUGCAAGAGUUAUGUUGUUUUAAACUAAGUACGUUCAACAUUACUAGAAAUACACACUUAAGUAUUGGAUUAUUUUCAUUGUUUUGAAUAAAGAAUGCUUGAACCA